Molecule: long non-coding RNA, 3562 nt
Organism: Ipomoea triloba (trilobed morning glory)
Lineage: Eukaryota; Viridiplantae; Streptophyta; Magnoliopsida; Solanales; Convolvulaceae
Exons: 10
Source: RefSeq, a predicted model, not a curated record
AAGUAUUUAAAAACAAAAAGCACAUACAAACGCACGAAUUGCAUGAUGCAGUUGGACUUUGACAGGUUGGAGAAAUCGCCCGGGGCGGUGUGGCGGUCAACUAGGACAGAAGAAUAGGGUAGUCAAAGGUUUUUGGAUAGCUAUUGUUCCCAAAUUGUAUACCGUUGAUUGUAUACUACUCCGUAAUAGAUAUAACAUGGUGUUUUAGGGAAUGCCUUUUCUUUCCCCACAACACUAACGUACCAAACAUUAUUUUAACAUUAUUUUUGGCGUUUUGAUGAAGGUCAAAACAUCCAUCAAAAUGGUCAGUACAGUGAACUCUCCCGACUGCGGCCAUCUCUUCAUAGCAACCAAUAAUGGGAGUGAUAUUUUCUCGGAUGAUUGUUGUCUAUAAUGAGACGCCCUGGGAAAUUAGUCUCAGGGAGAAACUACAUUCGUUAGAGCUUGAUCACUAUAUUCAUUUUCCUCCGGGCCGCAGCGAAUUCCCAGCCUCUCAUUUUCUGAAACGCAACCACGCGUUUGGACUGCCUUCCAGGAUAGCCAUCGAAGUAGGCGGAAGGGAAGUGCACAGCUUUAUUCCCCAGAACUUUCUAGACUACGUCAAAAUCACUUUCUCCAAUGCCGGAGCAGGGAACUUGGUUGUACGUAUUGUUCGGGCUAGGUUGCAUGAUCUAUGCCGUCUAAGGGGAUUUGGGUGCCUGGGUAGGACAUAUCAUGGACGGCCAGAUGAUAUCAUAAUGGAGUACACAAUUGACAAUUGAAAAUCAAGACAUUGCUCUGACAAGCUCUAAUGCUGAAGACAAUGAUACAAGUUCAUGACUUCAUGCACACCGUAGAUUAUUUAUGGUUGCAUAUGUAAUCAGUUCAUGGCUAUGAGAUGAAACACUGGAAAUACAUUCUUGUCCUACCAGAGGCAAGGAAAUAUGCAGCACCAAGUCUGAGUUGGAUGUUGCUAUGAUAGCUCUCCUUGUGCCUUUCAAGACGUCCCAUUUGACGGUAGUUCUCUGAUUGGUACAGCCAGUUCAUAUCUUGUGCCUUUCUUAUACGUACACAUUUAAGUAUGGUGGAUAUGAAAUUGAUGCCGAAGAGAACUGAGAUCAAGAUGGAAACUGAGAAAAGUUUCCACCAGUGUUUGCACUGAUGCUCUGAUGGCUUUGAAUUUGCGAGGAAAAGGAUAAAUUGGAAGGUGAUAUAGAACAUAGCCAGGUAUGUAGCCUUUGUAUCAUGGUAUUGUAUUUGUUUCUCCAGUCUAUAGUUUAUUGCAGCAAGCCCUUCGCAGUUGCUCCUGCACUUCUGCACCUUCUCGUAGAAGAUAUUUGACCACAUUUUGAAGAUUUGGAUAUUUUCUCAAGCAGCUUCUUUAAGCGUGAAUGCCUCACGAAAAAGAAAGGAUUUCCAAAGGCAAUGUAAUCUGCUCAUGUACUUUAACCUGUCUGCAAUAGAACUUAUGCUUUCAUGUAAACUCCAGGGAGUGGCUAGGAUGCUCUUUUCCCGGGUGCUGAUAAGCUCUGGGUUUUGGAUGCUUUCAUGGAUAGAAAGAAAAUGGUAACUGCAGGAAGGGAGUGCUAUAUCAGGGUUCAUAUCACAUGUUGUAAAUUGUAAUACUUGGAGGACAGUUUCGUAGCAGCAUUUGAGAGGAAUUCUUUGUGCUCACUUAUAAGGCUGGAGACGAUAAUCACAGACAGGCCUACCACUCAGCUGAGACCAUGAAAAUUCAAAGUCCCAGCCGAUGCCUCCAUCGCCAAACACCAUUCCGCCUUCGCCAUCUGAGCAGCAGCGGCGCCCUUGGUCUUCCCUUCCCUCCCCUCUCCCUCUCGGCUAGCGGCGACCAUGGCAGCAGCGGAGACCAACAGUUUUCCCGGCGACAGCAAGAAACAACGACAGUGGCUAUGGCGGCGAGUUCUUCUCUCUGGCGGAGCUUAUUCCCCGACAGAGCUGUGACGACGGGCAGAAAAGGCAGCGCGGCAGUACCUUUCUCCCUCUUCCCUGUUUCCCGACGAGGUUCCAUGGUUGCCGGCUUAGCUCAUCGCGUAGCAGUUCGGCGGUGGUUGGCGACCUCCCUCCUCCUCUCCGACAGUUGUCUUCCUCAACAACGACGUUUAUGAAAUGGAGAUUGAUCUGAUGGUAUUUUGGUACAGACAAGGAUGAUUCAAAGCUAUAUAUAUUUCUUGAUGUAGUCCACAGGUAACUGAAUAAAUGUCUUGAUGUUUCUCUUGCUUGAAUCAUUAUUCUAUUGUUCAGGAUGAUGAACGAAUGAAUUCUGAUUCAACUGACAAAGAGAGAGAUACAGUCCUAUAAGAAGGAGGACACUAAACUCUCCUAUUCUAUAGCUGUUACAUUAUUGACUAAGUAUUAAUACAAUAAUAAAACUAUACAUAAUAUUAUAAAGAUACUUAGACUAUGGUUAAUAAGGAUAAGCUUUAAAGUGUAACAUGUGUUCUCUUGAUGCUUGAACAUAAUUUUCCUAUAAGAAGUUUUCUUGUUGAUUCUAGUACACUGUAGAAGAAGUGUAAUAAUUUUUGCAAUGUAUAUUAAAUUCAAGUAUCUAAUCAGGUUGUCACUACUUUUGAAUGUACUAGCAUAGUAUAAAAUAUUUUCCUUGUAAAUUCAAUUUUAAAUAUGUUUUGGAAGUCUUCAUUAUUUUGUUUUCCUAGAGAUAUUAAAUGCGCAAACAUAUGCGUGGAUGCUGCUGGGAGAGUCAAACUUGCAGAUUUUGGCCUAGCUAAGGCCACCAAACUGAAUGAUGUGAAGUUCUGUGAGGGCACUGCCUUCUAGAUGGCUCUUGAGGUUAGUUGUGAUUCCUUUACCGAUAAUUAUCAUACAAUUUUGUUCUUCUUGGGGUUGCAUAGUAAACUAAAUCUUUAAUGCCUUGUUAUGACUAAUAUGUAAUGAAUAUAAACAUCAAACGCGUGAUUGCUGAAAUAAAAGGCCAUCAUGUAAGGAAGCAUUGGCAUUAAAUAAUUCCAUUCUCUUUUGUUUGCUCAGUUGCUUGAAACUAUAAAUUUUUUCCUAUACUAUUCUUCUAAUUAGUAAUUGUGUUAAUUGCUUCUUUUACUUUUAAUUCUUUUUUUUUUUGAGGAAAUUACUUUUAAUUCUUUUAAUUCUAAUUGGAUUAAUUUUGUAGGGACACUACUCCGUAGCAGUAGGAAAGAAAGUUAGGAAUUAGAGGAUAAUUGUAUGUGCAAUCUUAUUUAGGAAUUGGACUAAUUUUUGUAGGGACACCUUGCAAAUUCCAGCUGCAAGUUAGAUAUAAUUUAGAUUAUAAAUUAAAGCUGCAAACAUACAUUGGCAUUCUUGUAGUUUCCUUGGUGAUUAUGUUUCCUUGCUCUAAAUGUUGUUUGUGCAGUGACCAAGUGAUAUUGCAGUUGGUAUGCUAUGAACAUCAGAGCUGUGACCCUCUUCUAGUUAUGAGUGUUAUUUAUAACUUUUAUGACUAUUUACUUCAAAGAAAAUUCAUUCUUUUAUGACUAUUUGGUUUGGAAUUGUAAUAAUGUAAUUUCAUUCUUUUGUAACUUUCAAUUAUUUUUAAUUUGAAUUGUAAAUAUGUAAUUUCAUUCGUCUC